RNAcentral lists this ribosomal RNA (1273 nucleotides) under Klebsiella pneumoniae. RNAcentral describes it as "16S ribosomal RNA". It matches the Rfam family "Bacterial small subunit ribosomal RNA", at positions 262 to 1528 of the family's 1533-position model. The record is from RNAcentral. Lineage: Bacteria; Pseudomonadati; Pseudomonadota; Gammaproteobacteria; Enterobacterales; Enterobacteriaceae.
GGCUCACCUAGGCGACGAUCCCUAGCUGGUCUGAGAGGAUGACCAGCCACACUGGAACUGAGACACGGUCCAGACUCCUACGGGAGGCAGCAGUGGGGAAUAUUGCACAAUGGGCGCAAGCCUGAUGCAGCCAUGCCGCGUGUGUGAAGAAGGCCUUCGGGUUGUAAAGCACUUUCAGCGGGGAGGAAGGCGAUAAGGUUAAUAACCUUGUCGAUUGACGUUACCCGCAGAAGAAGCACCGGCUAACUCCGUGCCAGCAGCCGCGGUAAUACGGAGGGUGCAAGCGUUAAUCGGAAUUACUGGGCGUAAAGCGCACGCAGGCGGUCUGUCAAGUCGGAUGUGAAAUCCCCGGGCUUAACCUGGGAACUGCAUUCGAAACUGGCAGGCUAGAGUCUUGUAGAGGGGGGUAGAAUUCCAGGUGUAGCGGUGAAAUGCGUAGAGAUCUGGAGGAAUACCGGUGGCGAAGGCGGCCCCCUGGACAAAGACUGACGCUCAGGUGCGAAAGCGUGGGGAGCAAACAGGAUUAGAUACCCUGGUAGUCCACGCCGUAAACGAUGUCGAUUUGGAGGUUGUGCCCUUGAGGCGUGGCUUCCGGAGCUAACGCGUUAAAUCGACCGCCUGGGGAGUACGGCCGCAAGGUUAAAACUCAAAUGAAUUGACGGGGGCCCGCACAAGCGGUGGAGCAUGUGGUUUAAUUCGAUGCAACGCGAAGAACCUUACCUGGUCUUGACAUCCACAGAACUUUCCAGAGAUGGAUUGGUGCCUUCGGGAACUGUGAGACAGGUGCUGCAUGGCUGUCGUCAGCUCGUGUUGUGAAAUGUUGGGUUAAGUCCCGCAACGAGCGCAACCCUUAUCCUUUGUUGCCAGCGGUCCGGCCGGGAACUCAAAGGAGACUGCCAGUGAUAAACUGGAGGAAGGUGGGGAUGACGUCAAGUCAUCAUGGCCCUUACGACCAGGGCUACACACGUGCUACAAUGGCAUAUACAAAGAGAAGCGACCUCGCGAGAGCAAGCGGACCUCAUAAAGUAUGUCGUAGUCCGGAUUGGAGUCUGCAACUCGACUCCAUGAAGUCGGAAUCGCUAGUAAUCGUAGAUCAGAAUGCUACGGUGAAUACGUUCCCGGGCCUUGUACACACCGCCCGUCACACCAUGGGAGUGGGUUGCAAAAGAAGUAGGUAGCUUAACCUUCGGGAGGGCGCUUACCACUUUGUGAUUCAUGACUGGGGUGAAGUCGUAACAAGGUAACCGUAGGGGAACCUGCGGUUGGAUCACCU